UACGAAGGGGGCUAGCGUUGCUCGGAAUGACUGGGCGUAAAGGGCGCGUAGGCGGAUGGCACAGUCAGAUGUGAAAUUCCCGGGCUUAACCUGGGGGCUGCAUUUGAUACGUGCGAUCUGGAGUGAGGAAGAGGGUCGUGGAAUUCCCAGUGUAGAGGUGAAAUUCGUAGAUAUUGGGAAGAACACCGGUGGCGAAGGCGGCGACCUGGUCCUUGACUGACGCUGAGGCGCGAAAGCGUGGGGAGCAAACAGG
This 253-nucleotide ribosomal RNA is filed under the name uncultured bacterium. RNAcentral describes it as "partial 16S ribosomal RNA". It matches the Rfam family "Bacterial small subunit ribosomal RNA", at positions 524 to 776 of the family's 1533-position model. The record is from RNAcentral.